This is a non-coding RNA of Neolamprologus brichardi, 2063 nucleotides long. NCBI's taxonomy places the organism in Eukaryota, Metazoa, Chordata, Actinopteri, Cichliformes, Cichlidae. The record is from RefSeq and is a predicted model, not a curated record.
UGUUGGUCUGUUUUUACGUCACCCCUCAUAAUUUCACAACUUUUAGUGUUCACGGAUAAAUUUGCAUCGCAAAAAGUUAGGAGGAGGCAUUUGUCUCAGCGACAUGGCAGCUACGAUUGGACCCCGAAUACCGAGGAAGGACGAUGCGAACUAUAACUUACAUUUCCGAAUGAUAAACGAGCAACAAGUGGAGGAUAUCUCCAUGGACUUCUUCUAUAAGCCGCACACCAUCACUCUGCUGACAGUCACUGUGCUCAGCCUGAUGUACUUUGCCUUCACCAGGGAUGAUGAACACACAGAUAACAACCUCCGUGUCGGUUUGUUGGUAGUCGUCUUCUUCUUCUUGGUCAUCAGUGUCCUGGCCUUUCCUAAUGGACCCUUCGUUAGGCCACACCCUGCAAUAUGGCGAAUGGUGUUUGGUCUCAGUGUGCUCUACUUCCUGUUUCUUGUCUUCCUUAUCUUCCUUAACUGGGACCAAGUGAAGACUCUAAUGUACUGGCUCGACCCAAACCUCCGCUAUGCAAAACGGGAGGCUGAUAUCAUGGAGUAUGCUGUAAACUGUACAGUGAUAACGUGGGAGCGCAUCCUGAGCCACUUUGACAUCUUUGCAUUUGGCCACUUUGGAGGAUGGGCCAUGAAGGCUUUGCUAAUCCGCAGCUACGGCCUGUGUUGGACCAUCAGCAUAACCUGGGAACUCACUGAGCUCUUCUUCAUGCACCUUCUACCAAACUUUGCGGAGUGCUGGUGGGAUCAGGUGAUACUCGACAUACUGUUGUGUAAUGGAGGAGGCAUCUGGCUGGGAAUGACCGUCUGCCGUUUUCUGGAGAUGAGGACGUAUCGCUGGGCCAGCAUCAAGGAAAUCCACACUACCACCGGGAAGAUAAAGCGAGCUGUGCUUCAGUUCACUCCAGCCAGCUGGACCUUCGUGCGCUGGUUUGAUCCAAAAUCAUCAUUCCAGAGGCUUGCAGGCAUCUAUGUCUUUAUGAUCCUGUGGCAGCUGACAGAGCUGAACACAUUCUUCCUCAAGCACAUCUUCGUCUUCCAGGCCUCUCACCCUCUCAGCUGGUGUCGUAUCCUCCUCAUCGGAGUCAUCACUGCACCCACUGUACGACAAUAUUAUGCUUACCUGACAGACACUCAGUGUAAGCGAGUUGGCACACAGUGUUGGGUUUUUGGAGCCAUCGCUUUCCUGGAGGCGCUUGCUUGUGUAAAAUUUGGCCAUGACUUGUUUUCCAAGACACAGAUUCGCUACGUGCUCAUGUGGCUGCUGUGUCUGGCACUCAUCACGCUCCUGUGCUUAUAUGGGAUGGUGUGGUAUGAGCAAAAGAAAGUGAAGAGAAAUUCUCUGCAAAGGCACGACUGCAAUGACAGGAGUGUUAUUGACUCAUGUGGUUUCAUCACAGAUGGUGCUGCAGCUCAGGAAUAUUCCUCACGAACUGUGCAGCCUGCAAAACGGAGGAGAACUGCAGGCAGGAACAGAUUUAUAAAUGGUCAAGGAGGAAAGAGACAAUAAACAACAACUGAUACUGAAUAUUUGUGACCUCUGUGGAGGGGGAUGAGGAAAUGAUGCGCUUACCAAGAGGAAUACAGUAUGCACUAUGUGGAUGGAUUUAAUUAAUAUUGUAAGUUGCAUCAUUGGUGCAAUUAAUCCCCAAAAAGUAGAUUCCAGAAAUCAUAUCGGUGUUACUUGAUAAACCGUUUGAACUUCUAAAGGUGUGGGAGGCCAGAACACGACAGCAGGCUUAAAGUUUGACUGAAUUUCUUUUCUAUUAAAUGUCAAAGACGUUUCUAAACAAACUUAAGUAAUGAGGUAAUAUGUGCUGGAGUUUGAGAGGAAAUGGUGCCUUAUUUGGACUGUAACAGCAGUCUGUGUCAUUCCACAACCAAUAUUGUUUUUAAACACUGGAAUAAUGUUGUCAAGUGAGGGGUGUACCAACCAGUCCACACCCACUAUCCUGUACAACAGCUGUCCCCAACCCCCGGGCCUCGGAUCGGUACCGGUCCGUGAGUCGUUUGGUACCGGGCCGCGAGAGUUGAGGCUCAGGUGUGAAAUGUAUGGUUUU